UGGGGAAUUUUGGACAAUGGGCGAAAGCCUGAUCCAGCAAUGCCGCGUGUGUGAAGAAGGCCUUCGGGUUGUAAAGCACUUUUGUCCGGAAAGAAAUCCUUGGCUCUAAUACAGUCGGGGGAUGACGGUACCGGAAGAAUAAGCACCGGCUAACUACGUGCCAGCAGCCGCGGUAAUACGUAGGGUGCAAGCGUUAAUCGGAAUUACUGGGCGUAAAGCGUGCGCAGGCGGUUUGCUAAGACCGAUGUGAAAUCCCCGGGCUCAACCUGGGAACUGCAUUGGUGACUGGCAGGCUAGAGUAUGGCAGAGGGGGGUUAGAAUUCCACGUGUAGCAGUGAAAUGCGUAGAGAUGUGGAGGAAUACCGAUGGCGAAGGCGAGCCCCCUGGGCCAAUACUGACGCUCAUGCACGAAAGCGUGGGGGAGCAAAACAGGAUUUAGAUACCCCUGGUAGUCCACGCCCUAAAACGAUGUCAACUAGUUGUUGGGGGAUUCAUUUCCUUAGUAACGUAGCUAACGCGUGAA
Molecule: ribosomal RNA, 523 nt
Filed under: uncultured bacterium
Lineage: Bacteria
Description: partial 16S ribosomal RNA
Rfam family: Bacterial small subunit ribosomal RNA
Source: RNAcentral